GCCACUCGCAGGACUGUCAGGAUGCACGUGAAUCCUCGGGGGCGAGAUUGGAUCCGCGCGACCAGCCACUACCCAGGCGCUGCUGUGAAAAGCGUAUCGAUACCUCUUGUCGUCGCAGGGUACGAAGUCCAUCACCAGCAGAUUCGACGAUGGGAAAAUGCAUAAGUGACACGAGAACAUUUCCUGCCACUCCAAAUCGCUCGUAAACAAGGGGUUGUAAACGGCUUCCAGAUGGAGAGUCAAGAAAUGCUUGUAACGUUCGAAACAACGAAUUACUUUGUUUUGCACGAAAUUUUGAAAAUUAAGAACGAGUCAUUAAGACAUAGCAAUGACCUGGAAGUGGUUUCGCUUCGAGAGCAGCGCCGGCACCAACCAGAGCGGAAUGUAGAGGCCUCUUGGAGCCAGAUUCUUCCGUCAAACUCGCGCCAUUCUCUCUGGGAUGGUGGUCUCCGUAAUGACGAUUGUUGUUGUUGCUAUCGUUGCGAGAUUCUGUGGGAGUUGUCGUGGAAAUCGACGAAUUAGCGACGCGCUGUGUUAGCGAGGUUUUCGCGGUGAAAUUUGGAGGUACCUACCUUCCAUCUGUUGCAUUGGGGAUGGAACGCUCGUCAUGGACUGAGCAGAGUGAUGAGUCUGAUGAUGGGGAGCCCAUUGCUGAUAGCAGCAAUCAGCGGUGAUAUCGUGCCGUGGCUCGUGUUGCUGUUGCAUCCUUACUGGU
Long non-coding RNA from Hylaeus volcanicus, 715 nucleotides. RefSeq lists it as uncharacterized. The record is from RefSeq and is a predicted model, not a curated record. Lineage: Eukaryota; Metazoa; Arthropoda; Insecta; Hymenoptera; Colletidae. The transcript is spliced from 4 exons.